GAUGUAGCUCAGUUGGUAGAGCACGAGACUCUUAAUCUUUGGGUCAUGGGUCCGAGCCCCAUGUUGAGCA
Molecule: non-coding RNA, 70 nt
Organism: Podarcis lilfordi (Lilford's wall lizard)
Lineage: Eukaryota; Metazoa; Chordata; Lepidosauria; Squamata; Lacertidae
Source: the annotation of a GenBank genome assembly